Molecule: ribosomal RNA, 451 nt
Filed under: uncultured bacterium
Lineage: Bacteria
Description: partial 16S ribosomal RNA
Rfam family: Bacterial small subunit ribosomal RNA
Source: RNAcentral
AACGAACGCUGGCGGCAGGUCUUAGGCAUGCAAGUCGAACGGGUGUAGUAAUACACCAGUGGCGAACGAGUGAGUAACGCGUGGGAAUCGGCCCAUCUCUGGGGAAUAACGUUUGGAAACGAACGCUAAGACCGAAUACGCCCGCAAGCGGUAAGAUUUAUCGGAGAUGGAUGAGCCCGCGUUGGAUUAGUUAGUUGGUGGGGUAACGGCCUACCAAGGAGAUGAUCCAUAGCUGGUCUGGGAGGACGAUCAGCCACGCUGGAACUGAGAUACGGGCCAGACUCAUAGGGAAGGCAGCAGCUAAGAAUGUUGGGCAAUGGAGGAAACUCUGACCCAGCCAUGCCGCGUGAAUGAAGAAGGCCUUCGGGAUGUAAAGUUCUUUUAGUCGUGACGAUGAUGACGGUAGCGACAGAAAAAGCACCGGCUAACUUCGUGCCAGCCGCCGCGGUAA